ACCGUAGCUUAGUGGUAGAGCAUUUGCUCUGCGUACAAAAAAUCCCAUGUUUAAUCCCUGGUAUCUCCA
This is a non-coding RNA of Podarcis lilfordi (Lilford's wall lizard), 69 nucleotides long. NCBI's taxonomy places the organism in Eukaryota, Metazoa, Chordata, Lepidosauria, Squamata, Lacertidae. The record is from the annotation of a GenBank genome assembly.